UUGGUGAGCGCUGGUGGUUUAUUCUUCCGUGGAGUUAAGGGUUCCGUGGACAUCUCAAGUCUUCAGGGUCUUCCAUCUGGUGAGCCUUUGGCCCCUUGGGGCCCGCGGAAGCUUCGCCGCUCUCCCCUUGGGCGGGGGUCGUGAACGUCAAGACAGUCCCGGCCUGCAGUUGCCGCGGAGGAGCCGUGGGCACGAUGACUCUGCACCGCCUCCUCGGUGACGGACCGGCCGCCGGGAAUGGCCCCCGCCGGCCGCCGUCGGGGGCUUCCCAGUGCCAAGCCUGGACGCCGGGGCCCGCGAGGGGGCGGGCUGAGGGUGGGGGGUCUGUGGGCAGGACCGAGGAGUUGGGGCGGCUUCCGUCCUGGAGAGUUCGGUACGUGAAAGUUAGCUCUCCCGGAGGUGCCGGUGAACUCAAAAUCGUGCUGUGUCCGGCGUCAGGCGUGGAGACAACAGAAAGUUGUGCUUACGCUCGAAUCAGAAAUCCUCGGCGAGUCUGUGUCCUCCCUGCUUUUCUGCUCUGUGCCGUCCUUACUUUGCACCUUCCUAUUGCAAUUACUUCAACCAGUUCGCUGCCCUCGGUCUCUCACCAGCCAGAGUGAUCAUUUAAAAUGCCAAUCAGUUCCUAUGGGCCUUGGGAAUCAUUCAGAGGAGCCCCAUUGGCUGAGAGAUAAAAUUCUGUUUUUACCUGGGCACGCGGGCUCUCCAGAAUUUGAUUCCAGCUUACCUUUCCAGUCUUGAUUCCCUAUAUUCCAGUAUUUGGAAAUGUGGGUUUUGGACUGAGGCUUUACCAAAUAACGCUGAGCACCCAGUAUUGCCUUUUGCACGAAUGGUACUGAUGGUGCCCAAGAUAACUGCCUCCACCCCCAAGUUCAGGACCCAGAUCACUCUCUGGAGAAGGCCUCAGCCUCUUGACAUGGCUUUCAAGGCUCUGCGUGAUUUGGAUACUCGCUUAGCUCUUAUUUAUAUAUUUUUAAAAACAUCAGCAGUUUGUCUCAUGCGCACUAAGCUAUCCUGCCUCAGUACCCUUUGUUCAUACUUUAUGCUCUGUCUGGAAUGCCCUUCCCUUCUUUCUUCCUCUGUUCUUUCUCUUAGACCCAAGGGUUCUCAGCCUUAUUUCUGCCUCUCCCGUCUCUGAUUUACUUUCAUUUUCUGUAUCGGUUUCUCAAAAAAUACUUUCUUGAUUUUUUCAUCAUCCCUUUUCCCACCCUACCCCCGGUUCCUCUUUCCACAUUAUAAUCUAUGACUGCUUCUCUCACCUAACUGCCAGUAUUAGCUUUUCAGGACAGGAACUGGUUUUACACAUUUUGGUAUUCCAGCAUCUAGCAUAAUGCCUGACACUUAGCUGAAUAAAGGGAGUAAAUAGAUUUGUAAAGUCAGCAAAUGCUUUUUAAUUUGUGAAUCUUAUUUUAAUGAUGAUCUGAUUUUCUUUUUACAGGAACUAUAUAAAGUUCAGAAAACAUGGUGAGUUAAUACACAUGCCAAUAAACUGUUGCCUGAUAAACCGUAUUGCUUGUACUCAACUUACAGACUUGUGUGGGAAAAUUGAAAUAGAAGGAAAGCAUUGAGAAGAUGCCUUUUAUCUUGUCAGUUUCCUCUCACCUAUUGAACUUUGUAUAUACCAGGAUAGGUUUUGUAAGAUGAUUUGUAGGCUUGCAGGACUUGGCUUACUUUCAGUGGGUAGGAGUCACUCAUGUGUUUUUCCUUUGUAGUCUCGAAGAUAUGACUCCAGGACCACUAUAUUUUCUCCAGAAGGGACAUGGCUUGCAGUGUGGCAGGCAUAACUUCUGAUGCUAAUGUUCUGACUAAUGAACUAAGGCUCAUUGCUCAAAGUAUUUAUUACAGUAUCAGGAGCCAAUACCUUGUGAGCAGUUGGUUACAGCACUGUGUGAUAUCAAACAAGCUUAUACACAAUUUGGAGGAAAACGUCCCUUUGGUGUUUCAUUGCUGUACAUUGGCUGGGAUAAGCACUAUGGCUUUCAGCUCUAUCAGAGUGACCCUAGUGGAAAUUACGGGGGAUGGAAGGCCACAUGCAUUGGAAAUAAUAGCGCUGCAGCUGUGUCAAUGUUGAAACAAGACUACAAAGAAGGAGAAAUGACCUUGAAGUCAGCACUUGCUUUAGCUAUCAAAGUACUAAAUAAGACCAUGGAUGUUAGUAAACUCUCUGCUGAAAAAGUGGAAAUUGCAACACUAACAAGAGAGAAUGGAAAGACGGUAAUCAGAGUUCUCAAACAAAAAGAAGUGGAGCAGUUGAUCAAAAAACACGAGGAAGAAGAAGCCAAAGCUGAGCGUGAGAAGAAAGAAAAAGAACAGAAAGAAAAGGAUAAAUAGAAUCAGAGAUUUUAUUACUCAUUGGGGCACCAUUUCAGUGUAAAAGCUGUCCUACUCUUCCACACUAGGAAGGCUUUGACUUUUUUUAACUGGUGCAGUGGGAAAAUAGGACAUUACAUACUGGAUUGGGUCCUUGUCAUUUCUGUCCAAUUGAAUAUUGUAAUGAUGAUGGUUACUCUUCAUGGACAUCUUAAUCUUCCACACACAUCCCCUUUUUUUGGAAUAAAAUUUGGAAAAUGGAAAUGAAGGAAUAAA
RNAcentral lists this small RNA (2583 nucleotides) under Pongo abelii (Sumatran orangutan). Its description in RNAcentral is "retained intron". Lineage: Eukaryota; Metazoa; Chordata; Mammalia; Primates; Hominidae. The record is from RNAcentral.